This 67-nucleotide small RNA is filed under the name uncultured Polaribacter sp. RNAcentral describes it as "Flavo-1 RNA". It matches the Rfam family "Flavo-1 RNA". Lineage: Bacteria; Pseudomonadati; Bacteroidota; Flavobacteriia; Flavobacteriales; Flavobacteriaceae. The record is from RNAcentral.
UUUAGCCCUGAUUGUAGCGGUACCCUUUUUGUUUUUACAAAAAGAUAUAGCGAAAAGCAGGAAAUAG